Molecule: long non-coding RNA, 399 nt
Filed under: Prunus dulcis (almond)
Lineage: Eukaryota; Viridiplantae; Streptophyta; Magnoliopsida; Rosales; Rosaceae
Description: sRNA ncRNA
Source: RNAcentral
AUGAAGGCAUCCUUCACAUUCUACCCUAUCCUGCUAUUUCUUCUUGUCUCAGGUACCUUCUCUCUUAACACCAUUAACCUAUUGCUUUCAAUUCUUUUUUUCUUCUUCAUUAUUUCGGGGUUUAUGCUCAUAACUUUGUAUAAUUCAGCUAUUGUUUGUUUGCUUUUUUUUUUUUCCCCUUUUAAUUGGGCAGUUGAAUUUGGCACUUGCUCAGUGGUUCGUGGCAAUGCACGCGCCGUGAGGAUCCAGGAGCACUCGUGCCAUAAGCUGAUUGAUCAGUCAAUCAGAUGUGAGCUGCAGAAUUGCAUCAAGGAAUGCUCCAAAGAACCAUCUGGUGUCGGAGUGUGCAGAAGUAGAGUCUGUUUUUGCACAUACUAUUGUAAGGAUCCUCCAAAGUGA